AUAAACUUGAGAGUUUGAUCAUGGCUCAGAAUGAACGCUGGCGGCAUGCCUAACACAUGCAAGUCGAACGAGAUC
Molecule: ribosomal RNA, 75 nt
Filed under: Sphingomonas sp. NFR15
Lineage: Bacteria; Pseudomonadati; Pseudomonadota; Alphaproteobacteria; Sphingomonadales; Sphingomonadaceae
Description: 16S rRNA. Bacterial SSU
Rfam family: Bacterial small subunit ribosomal RNA
Source: RNAcentral